AAGCCUCUUUGGGCUGCAG
RNAcentral lists this small nuclear RNA (19 nucleotides) under Arabidopsis thaliana (thale cress). RNAcentral's name for it is "snRNA_08496". Lineage: Eukaryota; Viridiplantae; Streptophyta; Magnoliopsida; Brassicales; Brassicaceae. The record is from RNAcentral.